GAUGAACGCUGGCGGCGUGCCUAAUACAUGCAAGUCGAGCGAACAGACGAGGAGCUUGCUCCUCUGACGUUAGCGGCGGACGGGUGAGUAACACGUGGAUAACCUACCUAUAAGACUGGGAUAACUUCGGGAAACCGGAGCUAAUACCGGAUAAUAUAUUGAACCGCAUGGUUCAAUAGUGAAAGACGGUUUUGCUGUCACUUAUAGAUGGAUCCGCGCCGCAUUAGCUAGUUGGUAAGGUAACGGCUUACCACGGCGACGAUGCGUAGCCGACCUGAGAGGGUGAUCGGCCACACUGGAACUGAGACACGGUCCAGACUCCUACGGGAGGCAGCAGUAGGGAAUCUUCCGCAAUGGGCGAAAGCUUGACGGAGCAACGCCGCGUGAGUGAUGAAGGUCUUCGGAUCGUAAAGCUCUAUUAUUAGGGAAGAACAAAUGUGUAAGUAACUAUGCACGUCUUGACGGUACCUAAUCAGAAAGCCACGGCUAACUACGUG
This 497-nucleotide ribosomal RNA is filed under the name uncultured bacterium. Its description in RNAcentral is "partial 16S ribosomal RNA". It matches the Rfam family "Bacterial small subunit ribosomal RNA", at positions 28 to 507 of the family's 1533-position model. The record is from RNAcentral.